This 581-nucleotide ribosomal RNA is filed under the name Munidopsis guochuani. RNAcentral describes it as "partial large subunit ribosomal RNA". It matches the Rfam family "Bacterial large subunit ribosomal RNA", at positions 1797 to 2643 of the family's 2925-position model. The record is from RNAcentral. Lineage: Eukaryota; Metazoa; Arthropoda; Malacostraca; Decapoda; Munidopsidae.
CGCCUGUUUAUCAAAAACAUGUCUUUAUGAAGUUGUAUAAAGUCUAGCCUGCCCAUUGAAUUUUUUAAAGGCCGCGGUAUUUUAACUGUGCAAAGGUAGCAUAAUAAUUAGUUUUUUAAUUGAAAACUUGAAUGAAAGGUUGGACAAAGAAAAAUCUGUCUUUAAUAUUUUUAUUGAACUUUACCUUUAAGUGAAAAGGCUUAAAUAAAUUUAAGGGACGAUAAGACCCUAUAAAUCUUUACAUUUUACUAAACUUUAAAACUAGAAAUAAAUUUAUUUAAAAGCUUAAGAAAUAAUGUUUUAUUGGGGUAAUAAAGAUAUAAUAUUUAUAUAAACUGUCUUUUUUUUUAAACAAAUAUAUUUGUGUAUAAAGAUCCUUCUUAAAGAUUAAAAGUUUAAGUUACUUUAGGGAUAACAGCGUAAUUUUUUUUGAGAGUUCCUAUCGAAAAAAAAGUUUGCGACCUCGAUGUUGAAUUAAAAUUUCUUCGUGGUGUAGAAGCUAUGUAAAGAAAGUCUGUUCGACUUUUAAAAUUUUACAUGAUUUGAGUUCAAACCGGCGUAACCCAGGUUGGUUUCUAUCU